RNAcentral lists this ribosomal RNA (254 nucleotides) under uncultured bacterium. RNAcentral's name for it is "partial 16S ribosomal RNA". It matches the Rfam family "Bacterial small subunit ribosomal RNA", at positions 524 to 776 of the family's 1533-position model. The record is from RNAcentral.
UACAGAGGGGGCAAGCGUUGUUCGGAAUUACUGGGCGUAAAGGGCGCGUAGGCGGCCCGCUAAGUCGAACGUGAAAUCCCCGAGCUCAACUCGGGAACUGCGUCCGAUACUGGCGGGCUUGAAUCCGGGAGAGGGAUGCGGAAUUCCAGGUGUAGCGGUGAAAUGCGUAGAUAUCAAGAGGACCACCUGAGGUGAAGACGGGUUGCUGGGCUGACACUGACGCUGACAGCGCGAAAGCUAGGGGAGCAAACGGG